RNAcentral lists this ribosomal RNA (495 nucleotides) under uncultured bacterium. Its description in RNAcentral is "partial 16S ribosomal RNA". It matches the Rfam family "Bacterial small subunit ribosomal RNA", at positions 28 to 507 of the family's 1533-position model. The record is from RNAcentral.
GACGAACGCUGGCGGCGUGCCUAAUACAUGCAAGUAGAACGCUGAAGGAGGAGCUUGCUUCUCUGGAUGAGUUGCGAACGGGUGAGUAACGCGUAGGUAACCUGCCUGGUAGCGGGGGAUAACUAUUGGAAACGAUAGCUAAUACCGCAUAAUAGUAGAUGUUGCAUGACAUUUGCUUAAAAGGUGCAAUUGCAUCACUACCAGAUGGACCUGCGUUGUAUUAGCUAGUUGGUGAGGUAACGGCUCACCAAGGCGACGAUACAUAGCCGACCUGGGAGGGGGAUCGGCCAACCUGGGACUGAGACACGGCCCAGACUCCUUCGGGAGGCAGCCGUAGGGAAUCUUCGGCAAUGGACGGAAGUCUGACCGAGCAACGCCGCGUGAGUGAAGAAGGUUUUCGGAUCGUAAAGCUCUGUCGUAAGAGAAGAACGAGUGUGAGAGUGGAAAGUUCACACUGUGACGGUAUCUUACCAGAAAGGGACGGCUAACUACGUG